GUCCAGGGGGCCGCCUUCGCCACCGGUAUUCCUCCAGAUCUCUACGCAUUUCACCGCUACACCUGGAAUUCUACCCCCCUCUACAAGACUCUAGCCUGCCAGUUUCGAAUGCAGUUCCCAGGUUGAGCCCGGGGAUUUCACAUCCGACUUGACAGACCGCCUGCGUGCGCUUUACGCCCAGUAAUUCCGAUUAACGCUUGCACCCUCCGUAUUACCGCGGCUGCUGGCACGGAGUUAGCCGGUGCUUCUUCUGCGAGUAACGUCAAUCACCGGGGUUAUUAACCUCAAUGCCUUCCUCCUCGCUGAAAGUACUUUACAACCCGAAGGCCUUCUUCAUACACGCGGCAUGGCUGCAUCAGGCUUGCGCCCAUUGUGCAAUAUUCCCCACUGCUGCCUCCCGUAGGAGUCUGGACCGUGUCUCAGUUCCAGUGUGGCUGGUCAUCCUCUCAGACCAGCUAGGGAUCGUCGCCUAGGUGAGCCAUUACCCCACCUACUAGCUAAUCCCAUCUGGGCACAUCCGAUGGCAAGAGGCCCGAAGGUCCCCCUCUUUGGUCCGAAGACGUUAUGCGGUAUUAGCUACCGUUUCCAGUAGUUAUCCCCCUCCAUCGGGCAGUUUCCCAGACAUUACUCACCCGUCCGCCACUCGUCAGCAAAGCAGCAAGCUGCUUCCUGUUACCGUUCGACUUGCAUGUGUUAGGCCUGCCGCCAG
Molecule: ribosomal RNA, 709 nt
Filed under: Pluralibacter sp.
Lineage: Bacteria; Pseudomonadati; Pseudomonadota; Gammaproteobacteria; Enterobacterales; Enterobacteriaceae
Description: partial 16S rRNA
Source: RNAcentral